UAAGUGAAAGUUGGGGAUGUGGUACAGA
This 28-nucleotide non-coding RNA is filed under the name Rattus norvegicus (Norway rat). Lineage: Eukaryota; Metazoa; Chordata; Mammalia; Rodentia; Muridae. The record is from RNAcentral.